AUUUUUUUUGUGAUUUGUAGGAUGGUGUGGCUUCUGAAUAAUGUUUAUGACGUUGAACACCGGGCCUAUUUCAUGUCGGAGAACAAAAUGGUAAGUAGAAAAUGAUUAGUAGAUGAGUAAUUUUUUGAAAAUGUAAUAAGCACUUGAUAUCUUCUUCUCCUAUCUGUUUGGAGGAGCUUACGCCCUUGAAGAUCCAGUCUCAUGGGGCAUCGUCUGUAAUGCAGUACGAUGAGCGGUACACCCCAUACAUAGAGAUGACACGACUCCUUCCAUUCGUUCAGCUUGUGAGUCGGUCAACGCCCAAUCUGAACGCUGCGGCAGUCACAACACUUAUUGAUCGUUGGAGGCCGGACACACAUAGUUUUCACCUCCGGACCAGAGAGAUGACAGUUACUCUUCAAGAUGUUUCCAUGAUCACCGCACUUCCGAUCGAGGGGAAGCCUCUUUCUAUGAGCACUGGUUCCGAGGGAUGGCGGCAACAAAUGGAGGCUCUUAUUGGUAUGUCGCCGCAGGAGCCGGAGGUAGAAGAUGGCGGGAAGAAAGAUAGAGUCCCGGCCGGCACUCCUUUCACUUGGAUUGCCGCGAACUUUGCUCAUUGUCCUGAGGACGCAGAUGACGAGGUGAUCCAGAGGUAUGCUCGCGUGUACAUGUGGUACGUCAUCUCUAGGACUAUCUUUGCUGACGGCACUGGCAAGAAUGCUCCAUGGAUGUGGCUGAAGGCGUUGACUGUUUUCGACAACAAGUUCAGCUGGGGCUCGGCCGCACUGGCUUACUUGUAUCGGCAGGUAAUAAAUUGUUAGUAUUAAGUACUCUCUGUUAUCUUUUUCUGCUAAACUGAUACAUGUUUGUUGUUACUUGUAGUUGGACGAUGCUUGUCGCAGGACCACAAAGGACGGUGGAGUUGGUGGUUGUAUGCUCCUACUUUCAGUAUGGAGCUGGGAACGCCUACCUGUUGGACGCCCUAAAAGCUCACAGUGGAAUACCUGGGAUGACCACGGCAACCCUGUACGGCAACCUACAUGGGCUUACAAGUGGGACUUGGUAUCGGAGGUGGCAAGCGAAGUGAACCUAUUGUACAAGCAAUACACCAACGAGAUGGAUUCGCUUACCCCGAGCAGGUAAGAUGGUUUGAGAGUUGACUUCCAACUUUUAUGUUGUGAGUAAAAUGAAUUGUGCCUUUUAUGUUGUGUUGUAGGUGGAAUGGCAGCCAUAUGGUGUCGGGCCAAACUUUGGUGAUGCACACAUGUUUGAUCUCAAUCCACUAUGCGUGCAGGAAAAACAUCUUUGCCUAAUGCGUUGUCCCCUUAUAUGCAAUUUGGCGGUUGAGUUUCAUCUCCCGCAUCGUGUGAUGCAUCAAUUUGGGUUCUUUCAGCCACACCCGCCGGAGUGGGUGGACACGGACACACAGCUUCACAGGUAACAAAAAAGAAGUAUUGAUUAGUUUUGUUCUUAGUGUUGAAAGAGCUACUGAUGGGUUUUGUUAAAAGCAGGUUGGAUAGGAGGAGGCAGCGAAAGAUCAAGGAUUGGCAUAAGCAUCAUAAGAGCUAUGUCAUUAUGUUCGAGCAAAGUGUGCAGGCAGCUUCGAGCAUACAACGAACCCAGUACCGCCAGCAUUGUCCGCUUGCGUUCAACAACUACCUAAGAUGGUUUCAGGAGAGUACUCGUGUCGAGAUUUGUCCGCCGGCUUACGAGGAGGACAUAUUGGAAGAACCCACUGAGUACGAUGCACUUGCCCAAGGCGGUUACAACAAGUUAAUUCGCGAAGGGUACCAAACUUCCUUCGCACCUGUCCUGAACUUUAUGGUAAGUGUGCUCACCUAUGUUAAGUAUUAAUGCUAGUACACCUAUUCACUUGGAUGUCAUUGUCUUGUGAUCAUAGCGCAAAGAGGUCAAGAAACAAGCUGAUGAGUCGGAAGAUAUUCUAGAUAAUACACGUGGGGGAAAAAAGGGAGAAUCUGCACUUCAUCUUUUCAUAAAGGUGUUGUGUCAUUAUUAUUAUUUUGCCCACGAAUGCAACAUACUGUACCUUAUAUAUGUCAUUUAUAUUUGAAUCUAACGGGAACAGGGCAAGAAGUUACGGCGCCUAUCCAACAUUUUAGGUUGUCGUGACCCUGAAUAUGUUUCACCUUCGAGAUCCGGUUCAUCCGAAAGAAAUACUCUAGACGAUUCAGCUUCUUCGGGCGCUCGUAUGGACGAUGGUGACAUUACCUGGGCAGCUAAUACCCAAAGAAAUACUGUAGAGGAUGAUGUUGACACUCCUGAGGUAUGACAUAGCCAUAAAACAUUGUGCACUUUCAACCUUCAACUUUGAACCUUCAACUUUGAACUUUCAACCUUCAUAUGUAUUAGGUUGCGGACGGGAUGACGUUGAAGGAUUUCCAACGCUCCGCUUACAUGUUGAAGCCUAGGAAGGAAUUUAGGCGGUACUCACCGGAUGAUUAUGCGAAAGGAAAGAACCCGGUCGCCGGGGGCUCUCGUUUGUCAAGGAUGAGAAGCAUGGACGAUGAGGAUGAGGAUGACGAUGACAAUGAGUCGGAUGACCCGGAGCCAUUUGUGGUUGCGAGAAGAAAGAAGCUAGUUUCUAAGAGGGGACGAGGCUCCAAGAUGUGAACCGGAGCCAUUUGGAGUUUUCAAUCAUUUGCAAACCAUUUUACUUUUGUUGUUGGUGUUGAUGUUGCACUUGUGAACCAUUAGGAGUUGUGAACUUGUGUUGUUGGUAUUGAUGUUGCACUUGUGAACAAUCAUUUGCACUUGUGUUGUUGGUGUUAGAUUCAAAUAUAAAUGUGAACUUCGGUUGUUUGUGUUGUUGUCAUAUGUUUUAAAUUUCUGUCAAAAUAUAUGCUGUCAAAAUAUGUGCUCUCAAAAUAUUGCAUACCUGUCAAAAGGCUUAGGUGUUGCACAUGUGUGGCGUCUAAGGCUUAGGCGCCACACAUGUGCAACGCCCAAGGCUUAGGCGCCACACAUGUGAAAACCUACUAGCAUCUCAAAGCACCUUUCCCUCCUCCGUUCCCGCCAAAAUUUCCACGUCUUCUUUCCCGCCACCUUUCCCUCCUCCGUUCCCGCCAAAAUUUCCACGUCUUCUUUCCCGCCACCUUUCCCUCCUCCGUUCCCGCCAAAAUUUCCACGUCUUCUUUCCCGCCACCUUUCCCUCCUCCGUUCCCGCCAAAAUUUCCACGUCUUCUUUCCCGCCACCUUUCCCUCCUCCGUUCCCGCCAAAAUUUCCACGUCUUCUUUCCCGCCACCUUUCCCUCCUCCGUUCCCGCCAAAAUUUCCACGUCUUCUUUCCCGCCACCUUUCCCUCCUCCGUUCCCGCCAAAAUUUCCACGUCUUCUUUCCCGCCACCUUUCCCUCCUCCGUUCCCGCCAAAAUUUCCACGUCUUCUUUCCCGCCACCUUUCCCUCCUCCGUUCCCGCCAAAAUUUCCACGUCUUCUUUCCCGCCACCUUUCCCUCCUCCGUUCCCGCCAAAAUUUCCACGUCUUCUUUCCCGCCACCUUUCCCUCCUCCGUUCCCGCCAAAAUUUCCACGUCUUCUUUCCCGCCACCUUUCCCUCCUCCGUUCCCGCCAAAAUUUCCACGUUUUCUUUCCCGCCACCUUUCCCUCCUCCGUUCCCGCCAAAUUUUCGACGUUUCCUUUCCGGUCUAUAAAAGGAGGCAUUGGACUGCCUUCCUCCGUCAUCCAGCCUCACUUGAGAACACUACCACCGCUUUAGUCAAUAUGAGUUUGCCUUGCUCGGAUCAAAGCAUCAGGCCUAAGAAAAUGAAAAAUGCGAGUUUGCCUCGGGGGGUGGAAGCAAUUCGAUGUUGGUGCGGUGAUCUCUCCAAGGUGAAGGAGGUGGAGGAUUUUUCAGAUUGGUUGGGCAUGAAGUUUUUCAUGUGCGCCAAUUAUGAAUCUGAUCCACCCGAAUCUAUUUCUCCGUACAUCAGGCGUCCGGUAUGUUCAAGUCAUCCAAAUUAUUGUUUACUUGAUAUUAUUGUUUACUUGAAUCUGAUCCAUCUGGUAGUCUCCUCCUCCGGAAAUGCCGGACUGGGCGGUGACCGAGAUUCGUGAAAGAGGUCGUCGUGCAUGGGCUAGCUGGGACUUGGAAGAGCGCCGCGAGAAGGCUGAAGCAGAGGAGAAAGCAGCGCAGAAGAAAGAGUGGGAAGAGUACUGUGUGGAGCACAGGGCUUUUCUUGAUGAGAUGAUAAGGAAAAACCAAGAAGAGAAACUACGGCUGGAGGAGGUUUACAGAUAGCGGGAACAAGGAAAAUAUCCACGUUGGACUCACUAGAUUUCACGAAGUUGUAUGAGCAAGUUGUAUCUUAAUUUCAGCAAGUUGUAUCUUCAUUUCAGCAAGUUGUAUCAGCAAGUUGUAUCUUAAUUUCACCAAGUUGUAUCUUAAUUUCAGCAAGUUGUAUCAGCACUUGAGAAGACUAAGAUAAGGAUAAGGAUGAACAGAGUCUUGAUGAAAUGAGAAACAUAGUCUUGAUGAAACAGAGUAACAGGAUGCAAGACAUAUCCUCAUGAACAUAGUCUUGAUGAAAUGAGAAGCAUAGUCUUGAUGAAAUGAGAACAAAGUGAAACUAAGACCAAGAUAUCUGCACUUGAGAACAUAGUCUUGAUGAAAUGAGAACAUGGUCUUGAUGAAGUGAGAACAAAGUGAAACUAAGACCAACAUAGUCUUGAUGAAACAGAGUAUCAUCACUUGAGAAGACUAAGAUAAGGAUAAGGAUGAACAGAGUCUUGAUGAAAUGAGAAACAUAGUCUUGAUGAAACAGAGUAACAGGAUGCAAGACAUAUCCUCAUGAACAUAGUCUUGAUGAAAUGAGAAGCAUAGUCUUGAUGAAAUGAGAACAAAGUGAAACUAAGACCAAGAUAUCUGCACUUGAGAACAUAGUCUUGAUGAAAUGAGAACAUGGUCUUGAUGAAGUGAGAACAAAGUGAAACUAAGACCAACAUAGUCUUGAUGAAACAGAGUAUCAUCACUUGAGAAGACUAAGAUAAGGAUAAGGAUAAGGAUCAAGGAUGAUCAUUUACUCAUCAAAAGACUAAACUAAGACCAACAUAGCCAAGUUAUCUGGUACUCUGUUUCACUUGGGUGGCGCCUAAGCCUUAGGCGCCACACAUGUGAUGUGUCGCGCCUAAGGCUUAGGCGCCACACAUGUGAAACAGAGUAACAGAAAGUCGACAUUUGAGAUGCCAGUAGGUUUUCAAUUGUGUGGCGCCUAAGCCUUGGACGUUGCACAUGUGUGGCGCCUAAGGCUUAGGCGCCACACAUGUGAAAACCUACUGGCAUCUCAGAUGUGGACUUUCUGUUACUCUAUUUCACAUGUGUGACGCCUAAGCCUUAGGCGCCACACAUGUGCAACACCCAAGGCUUAGGCGCCACACAUUCUGGCAUGCUGAAAACUGCAGCACAUAGUGGUGGAGGAGUUCAAAUAUACAUCACAAAUAUGCACAAAUAUACAACACAAUAAUACUAGAGUUAAAACAUACAACACAAAGAGGGUGGAGUUCAAACAUGCAUAGGGUUCUUAAAGAACAUACGUUCAAAAGUGCAUACAUAGUGGAGUUUCAUAGUAAGAAAGCGCGCAAGCGAACAAGGUUCAACAACACAUAGGGUUCAACAACACAUAGGGUUCGAAGAUGAAAGCGCGCAUGAGAAUAGAAGCAUCCGGCUCUAUUGGGUCGAGCAAGGCCCCUUUCCCUUCUUCUUCUUCCUCUCUUCUUCCUCUUCCUCUUCCCUUUUGCGCAUUUUUGAAGCCUCUUCCUUAACCCUCUCCGUGAAGCGUUGAUGCUCCCGCUCUCUCUUUGUUGCGCCCUCUGCCCACAUCUUCUUAAAGUUAGCUUCAUAUUCUUUUUUACGUUUCUCUAGCAUCUUCCUGUCAUUCUCCUUUAUCCUAGCCUCAUAUCUCCGGCGCUCAAGUUCCAUUUGCCACUGCUCAUCCAUCUUUGCCUUAUGCUCCUCAUCCUUCUUCUUUCGCGCUUCGGCUGCAUCCUCCUCUCUCAACUUCUUUGCAGCCCUCUCCAUCAACCGCUGCUCCUCACUGGUGCAUCCUUCUCCUCCCCCCACUCCGCUUUUGCCUUGUUGGGUUGAGAAGCGGCCAUACCUACAAAACAGGCAUCAAAGCUCAUAGUUAGUAAAAUAACACACAAAGGAGCAUGAAAAACAACAUGAUAAAGAUAAGUCAAAUAUGUGACAUACGGAAAUGGUCCUCGUAGGUAUCCACGCAUACCAAUCCUAGUAAGUCCACCACCUAUCCCACCACUGCCUCUAGCAGCACCACCACCUAUCCCACCCCUGCCUCUAGCACCACCACGACCUAUCCCACCCCUGCCUCUAGCAGCACCCCUGCCUCUACCACCACCACUGCCUCUAGCACCACGUCCUCUAGUACGCCCAAGUCGGCUAGGAACAUGUUGAGUAGGAACUUGUUGGGUUGUGCUUGGUUGAGCCGUCCCUUGUUGGCUCGUGCUUCCUUGACCCGUCCCUUGUUGGCUUGAACUUGUUUGGCUAGGACUUGGUUGGCUAGGACUUGGUUGGCUUGACCUGGAAUCAUUGUUUUUGGACUUCUUCUUUCGCGUCGUACACCUUCUUGUGUUGUUCCCUGUUACACCGCAAUCUCCACAAUGUGAUCUCUCAGUAGGCUCUUGGAAUUGGUUGUUCCCCAUUUCUCUCCCACCACCAUGGCCCCAUCCAUCCAUGUCUCCUCUAAAACGCUUUGUCUUUCGUCUUCCCAGUUUCACAACCUUCCACUCUGGGUCGGGCCAUAGUUGUACUCCAUGAUACUCCGGCCAUUGUGAUUGGUCAAAGUAUGGUUCAAAUCUAGGAGCCCAUGUAUGCUUCGUGGUCAUGAUCGAGAAUUCGGACUCCCUCACGGUUAGUGGAUGGUUGACGUCCACGUUCCUACCGCGAGCUGCUGUGUACAAAUGCGAGCAUGCGAGAUGAAGCAACCUUAGCCUCCCACAAGAGCAAUCACACAAGGAUAAAGAUACCUUGAAUGCCAUGUUUCCGUGUUGCUGGCCAUCGUUUGUCGUUCCUCCGGGCUCAUUCACUUGGUAUGUCCAAUCCUCGUUGUUGUACAGGGUAGCCGUUUCGGAGUCAGCCUUCCGUGAUUGAAAUACCAUCCAUUUGUCAACCUUUGGUGGAAGCUGGUACUUGUACUUUUUCUUGUUCUCUCCCGCAAUCUGAUCAUCUGUUUCUUGCGAGUACUUUAGAAAGAUGCUCUCAACUUGUCGAAUGUGUAUUGAACUAUUGCCGUCACCGACAACGCACGGACACCCUUCAACACCCGGUUGAAGCAUUCUGCCAUGUUACUUGUCAUUUGACCAUAUCUUCGCCCAUCUUCAUCAUAAGCUCGUGCCCACUUGGCCCGAAGUUCAAUGUGCCUGUUCAGAAACUCAAGCCCACCUGCAUCAAGUUUUUUGUUUACAAGCAAAGCAUUGUACAACCUUGCAAAUCGUUUGCCCGAAAAUGCUUGACAACAAUCUUGAAGAUCAUCCGUCAACUCUUUGCUACCACAUGCCCGGUAGAAGUUUGCACAGAAAUGCCUCAUGCACCAUCGAUGAUGCAAAGGAGCAUGGUCGGGAAUGACAAUGUCAACCGCGUUAAGUAUGCCUUGAUGGCGAUCCGAUAUGACACAUAUUUCCCUCUCAAAAGGUAAUACUUUGGUUCUCAAAAUAUGCAAGAACCAUUCCCAGUUAACAUUGUUCUCUGCCUCAACCAAAGCAAAAGCCAAAGGCAUCAACCGGUUAUUGACAUCACUUGCUAUUGCAACCAACAAAGUGCCCUUGAAUUGUCCGGUCAAAAAUGUGCCAUCGAUGGAGAUGACAGGACGACACUACUGGAAAGCCCUCACACAUUGCUCAAAUGCCCAAAAUGCACGGCCAAAUACGCGGACCCUAUUUUCAUUGAGAAUCCUUGUUUGCUCCCCAUACGGCUCGACCACAUGAACCAUGCCCGGGUUAGUGUGGGCAAUAGCUCCCAACAACCUAGGUAUGCGGUUGUAUGCUUCCUCCCAAUCACCAUACAACAUCUUGAAUGCGGCUUGCUUUGCUUUCCAUGCCUUACCAUAUUUCACCUCGUAGUGAAAGAGGGCUUUCACAAGGUUUUGUACGCCUUUUAUGCUCAUUGUAGGAAGAGAGGAGAUGGAGUUGGAAAGCCUAUAAGCGAUGAACUCGGAGGUGAGUUGUCUAUGGCUUUGCGACGAAAGGGCACUAUCAACCCUCUUGCCUCGACACAUGUGAGGCAUACAACUGACAAUGUUCCAUCCUGGCCCUCCUUUCCAUGGUCUUGCACGGACAAUCCAAGGACACCCUCUAUCCUCACAUGCAACCGUGUAACGCAACUUCAUGUUUGAAUGAACAACUUUGUGUGGCCUAUAAUGCGUAACAGAAUAUUCAUCCAACCACAUCUUCAGUUAAAAGAAUGUUUCGAACUUUGAUCCCGGCAAAAUAAUAUUCUUCCCAUGUGUGUCCCGAUGAGAAGGUGGCCUAAAUCCAAACAAUAUGCCUUCGCCUCCGUCAACCACGGCUUCAUCCGCAAGGCUAAGAUCCUCGAACAAUGGUGUCCGGUGAUCACGCUUUAAUACCUUCGUGAAAGUUCAGCCUCCUUUGUCGUGAACCCUUCCUCAUCAACUUCUUCAUCGGGACCCUCAUCGUCAGACUCAGAGGCAUAGCCACGUGAGUACGGAAUAAAUGGUCCAUUGUCUCUUGCAAAUUAUAUUUGUCCAAAUCACCAAGAUUGUUCUCAUGAAGAACAUUACCAUCAUUCUCAUCAUCAUCGUGCUCAUCAUUAGCCUCUACCAAUGGUUCAUGUUCAAUGUUGACCUCUUCGUUGCCCUCAUCGACACAAGAAAGAGGUUCAAUGUUAGCCUCUUCGGUGAUUGGUGCAGGAAUAGCUUUAACAAUCGGAGAGGCAACCCGGUUCAAAUCCAACAUGUUAGGAACAUUUGUUUUGAUGGCAAAUAACUCUAGAGCCUUGUCUAGUGAUUCGGCCACCGUAUCCUUGUAUGCAAGCCAACGUUGCUCGGAGUUGACACGCAUGGUCUUCCAACGAACGUGCAUUCCGAAUCCCACAUUAUGCCUACCAUCAAACUCAACUACAUUACUAGGGUCCAUCCAAUUCAAAUCCUUUCGGACUUGUUCCAACAAUUCACCAUAGUUAGGACACAAAUCGAACACCAUGUCAAGCUCAUCCGGGUCCGGAUCAAUAUUGCCUUUUAAAAAUGCAUCCUUGUCCACGUGAUGAACAUAAACACAUGUUCUUCCCAUCCCUAAACAACAAAACAUAGAACCUUUUUUAUAAGCAAUCAUACAAUUACAAUAACCCUAGCCUAACUUCCAAACAACCAUAACCCUAACACAACCAAACAUCCCUAACCCUAGCCUAACCAUAGCCUAACCCUAAAACAACCAUAAUGCAAAACAUCCAAACAACUCUAAUCCUAACCACAUCAUACCCCUUAUCCUAACAUACAAACAAAUACAACAAUAUCAUAUACAUCUUACAUUUCAUGAAAAACUAGGGUUUCCUCAAAUUUGCAAAGAAAAAGACCACAAAAGAUUUUUCUUUGGAUGAGAAUGAGGGGAGAGGUGGGGAUUACCUUAGGGGAGUGAUUGGACAACAAAUGCCCGGUCCAAACCUUCAAAUUUGAUGAUUUAGAGAAGGAUUUGAGGGAGGGGGCAGUGGCUGGGAGAGGGGGCUGGGGAAGGGGAAUGAGGAGGGGGUGGGGGGCUGGCCCGUGGCCAGUUAAGUCAAUGUGUGGCGCCUAAGCGUUCGCCGCCACACAUUACAAUAUGUGACGCCUGAGGCUUAGGCGUCACACGGCCUGGGGGUGGACCCUCCCUGCCAGGUGGUCGGGGGCUGUGGCGCCGAACGGCUAGGCGUCACACAGUGUAGUGUGGCGCCUAGGUGUCGGGCGCCACAUAAAAGGAUCAGCCGGGUUACUUAUUUUCACCGAGGGGUCACUCGUGAAUUCUUUCGCGCAGGAAUCAUUUUUGUCAAUUUUGCGUGAAUAGCCACUCAUGUACGUACUCUACUACGUAAAGAGGAGAAUAUGUAGUACCAGGUCGAAAGGGCAUGCAACAAGCUACUCAUGAGAGAGAGAGGAAAGGAGAGGAGCAUAGCAUAGUGUCCUCUGUGGAGGAGUACAGCUAGUCAAGCAGUAGGACUCCAUUGCGGAAAGGUGAAAAGACGGGCACCGAUCCGAUCCAUUGUGUACGUCGGUUUCUUGCUCCUGUUGCUUUGCUAUGUCACGCUUCACAAGAGGAUGCAGUGCAAAGAUGGAAAAGCAAACAGCAAAGCCCAUGGUGGUGGACUGGACUGCCAACUGCGGCUUUAAAAACACGUCCUCGGACCGCCCGCUUCCUUUUCCCACACGGGCAACAGUGCCCCCUGUCACACGGUUCGACCUGUCCGAAAAGGCCAGUGCGUAGCCUAGGCGUAGGCGGAGCAAAAAAGCGCAGUAAAUUACUGGGGGUCGGUACCAAAGUGGCCACGGAUGAUGGCUUAAAAAUAUUCAAAGUAGGCUUAUCUUUGCCGUACUCUCUGCUGUGCCGUAGCUAGUAGUGCUGUGGUGCCGGCCGUUUCACGCGCCACCACCCUCCCUCCCAUGCAUGCAUGUCCCCGACUGCUGCAUGCACGCACGAAACGAAUCAUGCAUCUAUGCAGCGCAGUGCAGGCCUACUACUACCACCCAAGGUAGCCGUAUCGAGACGCGCGCACCACCGUCGCUUUGCUCUCUCUCCUCGCCUUUGUCCCUUUUGCUACGUUCCUUCCCCGCCAAUUUUGCUCUCCGUCAGAUUAUACUCCCUCCGUUCGUGAAUAUAAGACCUUUUUAAGAUUGUACUAUAAACUACAUACGGAUGGAUGUACGUAGACAUAUUUUAGAGUAUAUAUUCAUUCAUUUUGCUCCGUAUGUAGUCUUUUAGUAAAAUACCUAAAAGUUCUUAUAUUUUGGAACGGAGGGAGCAGUACUUGAGCCGGGUAGCGUAGCGUUUCACCCACAAAACGACGUACCCCAGCUCCUACCUUGUGAAUUUCGCCGAGUUUGCCAUCACCACACCACACCUAGAAACGAUUGAGAGCAAUUAAGCACCAGCUGAAGUGCGGGCGUUCCUUGGGCGAAAACACAAAGGACGUUGACGUACCCCUGCCGUGCCGUAAGCGAAACGUUCGAUACACUUUCACGGUUUCACGCGCCGGACGGGUCAAAUCUGUGCAGACAAUCCAAAUCUGUACCUGCAUGCCCAAUUUAUGCGCUGUGGGCAAACCGACAGUGGGACUGGCCGGGCACAUGACAACUCGCCCCCCGUACGGCCCAAGACGGAUGCGAUGCGUGCGGAUCGACAGGCGUGCGUGGGCACAGUUGUACGUACUCCAUCUUUAGACUGGUCAAGAUCGACGGGCACGAAAAUAUUGAUGGUGCUCAGCUCAAGCAGCACUACGAUCCGGCGAGAAGUACUCAAAACAUGUAAGCAUCUUUUGACAGGAGCAAGCGUGGCAGUAAAAUAUUACGAGCGAGCAUGCAGCAUCUUUCCACACGCAUGGAGCAAUCGCACGGAUACAACACGGUUUUGGUGCCAUAUUAUACGCAGUAACAAUUAUCAGUUGCUUGCGAAAGCAGAGUACACUGGUCUAGUAAACAUUUUUUUCCCAAGGACGAAACCUCUUUUAACUCGAAGAUUAACCAGCAACACAAGGUUAGUUCCGAACAUGAACAAUCUACCUAAAAAUAAUUUAAAAAAGUCUAGGAUCUACAUGCAAACUCCAGCAUUUGGACUCGCAUAGCCUGAUCACGUGACACUUGUGCAACACUGCCCAAGCCCACAUGCAGCAAAAACAAAAACAAAUAUUGGAGAACACGACAACGACGACGACGUGCUCGACCGCGAGACGUACGCUACGCCCACCGUCGGCCCAAGUUGCCGCAUGGCUUGGUGUUGGAUGGUCAAGAAAGGAGGACAUGGAGCGACGCGUUCUUGGNNNNNNNNNNNNNNNNNNNNNNNNNNNNNNNNNNNNNNNNNNNNNNNNNNNNNNNNNNNNNNNNNNNNNNNNNNNNNNNNNNN
Molecule: long non-coding RNA, 12046 nt
Filed under: Hordeum vulgare
Lineage: Eukaryota; Viridiplantae; Streptophyta; Magnoliopsida; Poales; Poaceae
Description: long non-coding RNA (HVUL_LNC004728)
Source: RNAcentral